UAAAGAGCGUGUCAGUGUCCAUCAGUCCGUCUGGUGAAAUAGUGUCAGGAGAUUCAGUGACUCUGAACUGCAGCAGUGAUUCAAACCCUCCUGCUCUGAACUUCAGCUGGUUUAAGGAGAAUGAAACCUCAGCUGUUGGAUCUGGACAGACUUUCAGCAUCUCCAGCUUUAGCUCCAGUUUCAGUGGACGCUUCUACUGUGAGGCUCAGAAUAAAUAUGGAUCUCAGAGAUCAGCGUCUGUUUCUCUCACUGUUAAAGGGGUUCAGAGAGCUGCUCUGCACACAGUUUCUGGGAUCGUGGCGGGAUGUGGAGGAUUGAUCUUCAUCAUCAUCAUCAUCAUCAUCAUCAUUGUGUUCAUAAAGAGGAAGAAGAGGAGAGAAGGUGGAUCUGAAGACAGGAAUCAAAAGCAGGCGAGUCGACAAACACACUCCUCCAUCUACAACUGAAACACAGUGUGAUUGUAUUGUUGUAUUGAACUAUGAAUACAAUAGUGUACAUGAAGCAAUAUAAGUGCAGAAAUCUCUCUCUAUAGACGGCUGACGCGAGUGACGAUACAUACACAGCUCUGGAUCCAGCGUCCAGAACAUCUGCUGACAUUUACAGCACAAUCACAUCUGUUCAGUCCAGAGCUCCUGAUGACACCUACACGGCUCUUGAGCUUCAGUCCAGAUCUUCUGAAUAUGAGACUCUAGCAGUGACUUCAGCAGAUCCACAUUAAACUCUCCUCACUGUAUUACUGCUAAUAUGAAACAACUGAAGCUCCUCAGAAACUGCCCAUCAUUAUCAGCUCAUGAACAUCAUUUCAUCAUCAAUAACAUUAUGAUUUAUUAAACUGUGUAUAUUGUAAUUGAGCUUAUAAGAGUUUGCAGAAUAUUUUUUUCUAUUAGUCUUGUAAAUCUAUAUUUUAGCCUGCAUGUCAUAUUUUAUGUUUGUGCUUCAUAAGCAAAUGCAUUUUAGGAGAAAACUUGUGCAAUUCAAACAUUUAAAGUAAUCAUCAUAACUUGUAGUCAGGGGCGUAAAUCGCGGGGGGGACGGGGGGGCAUGACCCCCCCUAUCUGAGUGCUGUCCCCCCCAAAAAAUAUAAUUAAAAACCACUCUAAGUAUUGUAAAUAAAUGAUAUAUCCUUAAAAUAAUUGUGUAAGAAGUAAAGCAAUACAAACGCAAACAGGCGUUUUAAGUUUAGAAACAUUUUGAGUGACCCCUCCCUUGCCUCACAGUGGUUUGGUCCACCGCGCACGUCACACUCGUGCGUGUAGAAAUCGGGCGGCGCCGGCGGGAGAGAAGACAGACAGUAGUUGAGAGGAGCUCUAGUUAGUAGGCUGUUAAGGCUAUUUUAUUCAAAAACAUCGGAUGAAGUGGUUAUUUUUGCUUUAAUGCUGACGACGCUGAGUAAUUAGUCAUAACAAAAAAAGCAAGAUGAUAACAUGAUUUUUUCCCCCCGUGAGUCCGCUAUUUUAGCGAUUAUAAUGUUACCUAGCGUUUGGUAGCUUGUUUACAAUAGCUUGUUGGAUACUAUGUCACCCACACCAACAACAAUUAACAGUGUGAUAAGAAUAUGUGAACUCUAAUAAGGCUAGUAGAUUUACUGUUGUGUGUUGGGUUUUGCUCAAAGUGUAUUCAUCGUAUUUUGGUGACUUGGUUGUAAACAACUUCAAAAAUAUUCCAAUAAAUAAAUGAUUUUGAAUAUUUUG
This is a long non-coding RNA of Megalobrama amblycephala (Wuchang bream), 1691 nucleotides long. RefSeq lists it as uncharacterized. The record is from RefSeq and is a predicted model, not a curated record. The transcript is spliced from 4 exons. NCBI's taxonomy places the organism in Eukaryota, Metazoa, Chordata, Actinopteri, Cypriniformes, Xenocyprididae.